CCUACGGGUGGCUGCAGUGGGGAAUAUUGGACAAUGGGCGAAAGCCUGAUCCAGCCAUGCCGCGUGUGUGAAGAAGGCCUUCGGGUUGUAAAGCACUUUCAGUGGGGAAGAAAGCCUUGGGGCUAAUACCCUCGAGGAAGGACAUCACCCACAGAAGAAGCACCGGCUAACUCCGUGCCAGCAGCCGCGGUAAUACGGAGGGUGCGAGCGUUAAUCGGAAUUACUGGGCGUAAAGCGCGCGUAGGCGGUCUGAUAAGCCGGUUGUGAAAGCCCCGGGCUCAACCUGGGAACGGCAUCCGGAACUGUCAGGCUAGAGUGCAGGAGAGGAAGGUAGAAUUCCCGGUGUAGCGGUGAAAUGCGUAGGGAUCGGGAGGAAUACCAGUGGCGAAGGCGGCCUUCUGGACUGACACUGACGCUGAGGUGCGAAAGCGUGGGUAGCAAACAGGAUUAGAUACCCCAGUAGUC
Molecule: ribosomal RNA, 465 nt
Filed under: Vreelandella stevensii
Lineage: Bacteria; Pseudomonadati; Pseudomonadota; Gammaproteobacteria; Oceanospirillales; Halomonadaceae
Description: partial 16S ribosomal RNA
Rfam family: Bacterial small subunit ribosomal RNA
Source: RNAcentral